This 404-nucleotide ribosomal RNA is filed under the name Fusobacteriota bacterium. RNAcentral describes it as "Fusobacteria bacterium partial 16S ribosomal RNA". It matches the Rfam family "Bacterial small subunit ribosomal RNA", at positions 355 to 776 of the family's 1533-position model. Lineage: Bacteria; Fusobacteriati; Fusobacteriota. The record is from RNAcentral.
UGGGGAAUAUUGCACAAUGGAGGGAACUCUGAUGCAGCGACGCCGCGUGAGUGAUGAAGGAAUUCGUUUCGUAAAACUCUGUUCUAUGGGAAGAAAAGGACUGUACCAUAGGAGAAAGCUCCGGCUAAAUACGUGCCAGCAGCCGCGGUAAUACGUAUGGAGCGAGCGUUGUUCGGAAUUAUUGGGCGUAAAGGGUGCGCAGGCGGCUUUACAAGUUGGGUGUGAAAUAUUGUGGCUCAACCACAAAAGUGCAUCCAAAACUGCAAAGCUUGAGUUAAGGAGAGGUAAGUGGAAUUCCUGGUGUAGCGGUGGAAUGCGUAGAUAUCAGGAAGAAAACCGGUGGCGAAGGCGACUUACUGGACUUAAACUGACGCUCAGGCACGAAAGCGUGGGGAGCAAACAGG